CUAGGCGUCUCUACCUAACACUAUCUACACAAGCAAAAUAGUAAUAGUUUGUUUGAAGCUGUAGAGACAAUGUAGCCUGUUUUAAAUAACAAUGUAAAUAUAUUAAAUAUAUUUUCAGGAGC
Non-coding RNA from Blastomyces gilchristii SLH14081, 122 nucleotides. Lineage: Eukaryota; Fungi; Ascomycota; Eurotiomycetes; Onygenales; Ajellomycetaceae. The record is from Rfam.